Molecule: long non-coding RNA, 227 nt
Filed under: Mytilus galloprovincialis (Mediterranean mussel)
Lineage: Eukaryota; Metazoa; Mollusca; Bivalvia; Mytilida; Mytilidae
Source: RNAcentral
GACUGAUUGGUUGUUGUUACGGAAAAAUAAAUUAACUUCAAACUAAUUCUUUGCACGCUACUUUUACUACGUAUUGCACAUAUUGGAGAUGUGCAAAAAAAAAAAAAAAAGAAUUUCUAUAGGAUUUGAUUUAUAAAUGUUAGAAGAAAAAAAGGAAAGAUAAUUCCUGUAGUCUACGGGCGGUGAAAAAAAAAGAUACCAAAAAUCUUGACAGCGUGGGACCACCC